CGUAACAAGGUCUCCGUAGGUGAACCUGCGGAGGGAUCAUUACACAAAUAUGAAGGCGGGCUGGAACCUCUCGGGGUUACAGCCUUGCUGAAUUAUUCACCCUUGUCUUUUGCGUACUUCUUGUUUCCUUGGUGGGUUCGCCCACCACUAGGACAAACAUAAACCUUUUGUAAUUGCAAUCAGCGUCAGUAACAAAUUAAUAAUUACAACUUUCAACAACGGAUCUCUUGGUUCUGGCAUCGAUGAAGAACGCAGCGAAAUGCGAUAAGUAGUGUGAAUUGCAGAAUUCAGUGAAUCAUCGAAUCUUUGAACGCACAUUGCGCCCUUUGGUAUUCCAAAGGGCAUGCCUGUUCGAGCGUCAUUUGUACCCUCAAGCUUUGCUUGGUGUUGGGCGUCUUGUCUCUAGCUUUGCUGGAGACUCGCCUUAAAGUAAUUGGCAGCCGGCCUACUGGUUUCGGAGCGCAGCACAAGUCGCACUCUCUAUCAGCAAAGGUCUAGCAUCCAUUAAGCCUUUUUUUCAACUUUUGACCUCGGAUCAGGUAGGGAUACCCGCUGAAC
RNAcentral lists this ribosomal RNA (558 nucleotides) under fungal sp. 1895c4c. RNAcentral describes it as "eukaryotic LSU rRNA". The stretch from base 208 to 361 matches the Rfam family "5.8S ribosomal RNA". Lineage: Eukaryota; Fungi. The record is from RNAcentral.